Molecule: ribosomal RNA, 447 nt
Filed under: uncultured bacterium
Lineage: Bacteria
Description: bacterial SSU rRNA
Rfam family: Bacterial small subunit ribosomal RNA
Source: RNAcentral
UAGGGAAUAUUGGACAAUGGGCGAAAGCCUGAUCCAGCCAUGCCGCGUGAGUGACGAAGGCCUUAGGGUUGUAAAACUCUUUCGUCGGGGACGAUAAUGACGGUACCCGAAGAAGAAGCUCCGGCUAACUUCGUGCCAGCAGCCGCGGUAAUACGAAGGGAGCUAGCGUUGUUCGGAAUCACUGGGCGUAAAGCGCACGUAGGCGGAUAGUUAAGUCAGGGGUGAAAUCCUGGGGCUCAACCCCAGAACUGCCUUUGAUACUGGCUGUCUCGAGGUCGAGAGAGGUUGGUGGAAUUCCUAGUGUAGCGGUGAAAUGCGUAGAUAUCAAGAGGAACACCUGAGGUGAAGACGGGUUGCUGGGCUGACACUGACGCUGAGGCGCGAAAGCCAGGGGAGCAAACGGGAUUAGAUACCCGAGUAGUCCCUGAGCGGGCUGGCAAGGCGCAU